GAUUUAAUUUCAUCCAUGCCUGGACAUUCUCAUUAAUAUUCCACCUCUGAAUACUGCAGGUUGCAAAUGCAUAUUGAAAAGAUUAGCUGGGGAAUGGUUUGUGAAGGGGAGCCGGAACGCAUAAUGGCGGUUGUCCUGCCUCAGCUGAUGAGUGGUAACAUUUUCUGACUCUUGCUUUUUGAUAAUUCCAUGAAAAACAACAGAUGACACAAGAAGGGCCAGUGUCUACACAAACUACAUCUGGGUUCUAAACACCCAUGGGAGCUCUUUCCACUGUAAUAUUUCUGCUGCUUUGUCAUUGCCUGAAAAAUAAAACGCUUGACAGUCUUCGUACAGGCAGUCAAACUGACAUGGAGCCAAGGAUUGAGAGAAGUUAUGUUUCAAGAGCCAACCAAUGCGAAACGUCACAACCAGAGCUGUGCGGUUUGCAUUGAGGAAACUGAGAGGCUGGCGGACUUUAAACUUACAUUUCACCUCAUAACUGUGGUAGUUAGUAGCGCUGACAUCAAAGCACAUACACUUUAUGUCUUGGUCACAAAGGCUCAGUGAUAAGUUUUAUAUUUCACCUCAGUUCUGCUGGGGAAAAGCACAUCCACUACAAACCAGUGUCUAGUCGUAUCCACAAAGCAUAUGAGAUUUGUCCAUAAUGUUAAGUUCUUAACUGCAAACUGAACUGUCAGCACUACUACUCCUAGAUGCUUUUGGAUGUGGACCCUGGGCAUAACAGCACAACUAUAACACACUUUCCUAUAUUUUAGUGUAGUUCUAUUGUUCUGCCUUGUUAUAGAAUCCUGAUUCUCCCUGAAAUACUUGUUUUGUGACUUAACUUAAAGCCAAUGAAUCUUCAGUGGACAUUGCAGGACGACAGGACAGAGUACCAGCAGCAUUUCUGCAAUUCUUUUCAAGCAUUCUUUGAUGUUCUCUGUAGAAGAUAUGUUUCAUUUGCCUUUGAGGUUUCCUGUGCCAUAGUAACAUGUGUACUGUGUAGUACAACUUUUAUUGUUUUACUAUAUUAUACCUUCUUAAUGGUACUCAUGUAUUGACGUUUUUGUCCCCUGUCUUCUCACAAUUAUGGUUCCUGUUUUUAAAGGUAGCCCUACAGCCUUACAGAUCCGAAUUACUAGAGUAACCAUUUGAAAAGAUACUUAUUUUAUUUUUAAAAAUGUGGUGUUAAAAUUGUCCAGUUGCAAAUUUUGCACAAGCCCAUACAAAUCAACAGUGAAUCUCAGGAAAUCGAAAUUACAUCAGCAAGUAUUUCUGUCUGCGUGUAUGCCACAAUAUAUGCAUGCAUAACAGGGACCUCUGUCAAAGCGCACCCGUGUUAUGGAGGCUUUGAAAAACAUUUGUUUCUUCAAUGGCAUUUUUAAGUUGUUUUCGUACGGUGGCAAAACGAAUAGUUGUCAGAAUGUUCUAGUGUGGUAAAAACGUCUACCCUCAUGAUGUACCGAUAAUGGGACCGUUGAAAGUGAUACUAAAUACACAAUUCUUCUUUGCCUUUUU
This is a long non-coding RNA of Esox lucius (northern pike), 1500 nucleotides long. NCBI's taxonomy places the organism in Eukaryota, Metazoa, Chordata, Actinopteri, Esociformes, Esocidae. The record is from Ensembl.